RNAcentral lists this transfer RNA (76 nucleotides) under Holophaga sp. RNAcentral's name for it is "tRNA-Thr". It matches the Rfam family "tRNA". From Rfam's summary of the family: Transfer RNA (tRNA) molecules are approximately 80 nucleotides in length. Their secondary structure includes four short double-helical elements and three loops (D, anti-codon, and T loops). Further hydrogen bonds mediate the characteristic L-shaped molecular structure. tRNAs have two regions of fundamental functional importance: the anti-codon, which is responsible for specific mRNA codon recognition, and the 3' end, to which the tRNAs corresponding amino acid is attached (by aminoacyl-tRNA synthetases). tRNAs cope with the degeneracy of the genetic code in two manners: having more than one tRNA (with a specific anti-codon) for a particular amino acid; and 'wobble' base-pairing, i.e. permitting non-standard base-pairing at the 3rd anti-codon position. The record is from RNAcentral. Lineage: Bacteria; Pseudomonadati; Acidobacteriota; Holophagae; Holophagales; Holophagaceae.
GCCGCUUUAGCUCAGCUGGUAGAGCGCCCGCCUUGUAAGCGGAAGGUCUCCGGUUCAAAUCCGGAAAGCGGCUCCA